UUAAACUCGCCACGCUUGAAGACGUCGUCAGC
RNAcentral lists this non-coding RNA (32 nucleotides) under Geobacter sulfurreducens KN400. The record is from RNAcentral. Lineage: Bacteria; Pseudomonadati; Thermodesulfobacteriota; Desulfuromonadia; Geobacterales; Geobacteraceae.